GAGUUUGAUCCUGGCUCAGAGCGAACGCUGGCGGCAGGCUUAACACAUGCAAGUCGAGCGGGCGUAGCAAUACGUCAGCGGCAGACGGGUGAGUAACGCGUGGGAACGUACCUUUUGGUUCGGAACAACACAGGGAAACUUGUGCUAAUACCGGAUAAGCCCUUACGGGGAAAGAUUUAUCGCCAAAAGAUCGGCCCGCGUCUGAUUAGCUAGUUGGUGAGGUAACGGCUCACCAAGGCGACGAUCAGUAGCUGGUCUGAGAGGAUGAUCAGCCACAUUGGGACUGAGACACGGCCCAAACUCCUACGGGAGGCAGCAGUGGGGAAUAUUGGACAAUGGGCGCAAGCCUGAUCCAGCCAUGCCGCGUGAGUGAUGAAGGCCCUAGGGUUGUAAAGCUCUUUUGUGCGGGAAGAUAAUGACGGUACCGCAAGAAUAAGCCCCGGCUAACUUCGUGCCAGCCGCCGCUGUAAG
This 471-nucleotide ribosomal RNA is filed under the name uncultured bacterium. RNAcentral describes it as "bacterial SSU rRNA". It matches the Rfam family "Bacterial small subunit ribosomal RNA", at positions 9 to 524 of the family's 1533-position model. The record is from RNAcentral.